AGUGAACGCUGGCGGUAGGCCUAACACAUGCAAGUCGAACGGCAGCACAGUAAGAUCUUGCUCUUACGGGUUGCGAGUGGCGGACGGGUGAGGAAUACAUCGUAAUCUACUUUUUCGUGGGGGAUAACGUAGGUAAACUUACUCUAAUACCGCAUACGACCUACGGUUGAAAGCAGUGGAUCUUCGGACCUUGCGCGAUUGAAUGAGCCGAUGUCGGAUUAGCUAGUUGGCGGGGUAAAGGCCCACCAAGGCGACGAUCCGUAGCUCGUCUGAGAGGAUGGUCGGCCACACUGGAGCUGGAACACGGACCAGGCGCCUGAGGGACGGAGCAGUGGGGAAUGUUAGGCAGUAGGCGCGAGCAUGAUCCAGCCAUACCGCGUGGGUGAAAGAAGCGUUCCGGUUGUGAAGCCCUUUUGUUGGGAAAGAAACGCAGCAGCUUAAUACCAAGCUGUUGUGACGGUACCCAAAGAAUAAGCACCGGCUAACUUCGUG
This 492-nucleotide ribosomal RNA is filed under the name uncultured bacterium. RNAcentral's name for it is "partial 16S ribosomal RNA". It matches the Rfam family "Bacterial small subunit ribosomal RNA", at positions 29 to 507 of the family's 1533-position model. The record is from RNAcentral.